GACGAACGCUGGCGGCGUGCUUAACACAUGCAAGUCGAGCGGUAAGGCCCUUCGGGGUACACGAGCGGCGAACGGGUGAGUAACACGUGGGUGACCUGCCUCUAGCUCUGGGAUAAGCCUGGGAAACUGGGUCUAAUACCGGAUAUGACCCCACGGCGCAUGUUGUGGGGUGGAAAGCCUUGUGUGGCUAGAGAUGGGCCCGCGGCCUAUCAGCUUGUUGGUGGGGUGANGGCCUACCAAGGCGACGACGGGUAGCCGGCCUGAGAGGGCGACCGGCCACACUGGGACUGAGACACGGCCCAGACUCCUACGGGAGGCAGCAGUGGGGAAUCUUGCGCAAUGGGCGAAAGCCUGACGCAGCGACGCCGCGUGA
RNAcentral lists this ribosomal RNA (373 nucleotides) under uncultured bacterium. Its description in RNAcentral is "bacterial SSU rRNA". It matches the Rfam family "Bacterial small subunit ribosomal RNA", at positions 28 to 404 of the family's 1533-position model. The record is from RNAcentral.